GACGAACGCUGGCGGCGUGCUUAACACAUGCAAGUCGAACGGAAAGGCCCUGCUUUUGUGGGGUGCUCGAGUGGCUAACGGGUGAGUAACACGCGAGUAACCUGCCCGUGACUUUGGUAGAACUUCAGGAAACUGGGGCUAAUUCAGGAUAGGUGCUCCUUCUGCAUGGUGUGGGUUGGAAAGGUUCGGUGGUUGGGGAUGGAGUUGCGGGUUAGCAGCUUGUUGGUGGAGUAGUGGUUUACCAAGGCUUUGACGGGGAGCCGGCGUGAGAGAGAGACCGGCUGCAUUGGGGCUGAGAUUCGGGCGAGAGGCCUACGGGAGGCAGCAGUGAGGAAUGUUGCAAAAUGGGUGGAGGCAUGCUGCGGCAACGACGCAUGCGGGCUGAUGGCCAUCGGGUUGUAAACCGAUUUAGGCUGUGACGUAGCGUGAGUGGCGUUAAUGGGUAGAGAAGCACCGGCUAACUACGUG
This 468-nucleotide ribosomal RNA is filed under the name uncultured bacterium. Its description in RNAcentral is "partial 16S ribosomal RNA". It matches the Rfam family "Bacterial small subunit ribosomal RNA", at positions 28 to 507 of the family's 1533-position model. The record is from RNAcentral.